AAACAAGGCAGGACGUUGUGCCUUGCACAUCUAGGGCAAUGUAGGACACGGCAGAGCAGAAGUUCUACUUCAGCGAGAUCACGGCUGGGAAGAAACUGCGUUUCACAGGCCUUUGUAAGAGAUGUUCCCGGUAGGCUGUAAGAGCACUGUUGAGAGCGAGUUGUUUCUUAGCUUCCCAAAGAGCUGGAAGCAAGACGCUUUGUGGCCUGUCUCCACUUCAGGAACAAGGCAGGACUUUGUGACUUGCACCUCUAGGGCAAAGUACGACACGUCUAAGGAGAAGUUCUACUUCAGCCAGAUCAGGGCUGGGAAGAAACUGCGUUUCACAGGCAUUUGUAAGAGAUGUCCCUGGUAGGCUGUAAGAGCACUGUGUAGAGGGAGUUGUUUCUUAGCUUCCGAAAGAGCUGGAAGCAAGGCCGUUUGUGGCUUCUCUCAUUUGGCAGCAAUGACUCAGUGCGUUGUCUUUUCCACCUCUAGAGCAAUGUAGAACAUGGCAUAGAGCAGAAGUUCCAAGGCGGUGAGAUCAUGGCUGGAAACACACUGCAUUUCAGGCCUUUGUAUGAGAGGUUCCCGGUAGAUUGUAAGAGCCCUGUGGAAAGCGAGUUCUUUCUCACCUUGCCAAAGAGCUGGAGGCGAGACGGUCUGUGGCCUGUCUCAUCUUUAGGAAGCCAAGCAGGGCUUUGUAACUUCCACCUCUACAGCAAUGUAUUACACUUCAGAGCAGAAGUUCUACUUCAGCGAGAUCAGGGGUGAGAAGAAACUGCGUUUCAUAGGAUUUGUGUGAGAUUUUACAGAAGGCUGUGAGAGCACUGUGGAGAGUGAGUUGUUUCUUACCUUCCCAAAGAGCAGGAAGAAAAACGCUUUGUGGCCUGUCUCCCCUUGAGGAAACAAGGCAGGACGUCGUGCCUUGCACCUCUUGGGCAAUGUAG
RNAcentral lists this long non-coding RNA (929 nucleotides) under Equus caballus (horse). Its description in RNAcentral is "lncRNA (ENSECAG00000053034.1)". Lineage: Eukaryota; Metazoa; Chordata; Mammalia; Perissodactyla; Equidae. The record is from RNAcentral.